CGAACGGGUGAGUAAUGCGUGACCAACCUGCCCCAUGCUCCANAAUAGCUCUUGGAAACGGGUGGUAAUGCUGGAUGCUCCAACUUGACGCAUGUCUUGUUGGGAAAGUGUUUAGUGGCAUGGGAUGGGGUCGCGUCCUAUCAGCUUGUAGGCGGGGUAAUGGCCCACCUAGGCUUCGACGGGUAGCCGGCCUGAGAGGGCGGACGGCCACAUUGGGACUGAGAUACGGCCCAGACUCCUACGGGAGGCAGCAGAC
Molecule: ribosomal RNA, 256 nt
Filed under: uncultured Gardnerella sp.
Lineage: Bacteria; Bacillati; Actinomycetota; Actinomycetes; Bifidobacteriales; Bifidobacteriaceae
Description: partial 16S ribosomal RNA
Rfam family: Bacterial small subunit ribosomal RNA
Source: RNAcentral